GGGCCUGUAGCUCAGUUGGUUAGAGCGCACGCUUGAUAAGCGUGAGGUCGAUGGUUCGACCCCAUCCAGGCCCACCA
This 77-nucleotide transfer RNA is filed under the name Candidatus Ancaeobacter aquaticus. RNAcentral's name for it is "tRNA-Ile". It matches the Rfam family "tRNA". From Rfam's summary of the family: Transfer RNA (tRNA) molecules are approximately 80 nucleotides in length. Their secondary structure includes four short double-helical elements and three loops (D, anti-codon, and T loops). Lineage: Bacteria; Pseudomonadati; Candidatus Auribacterota; Candidatus Ancaeobacteria; Candidatus Ancaeobacterales; Candidatus Ancaeobacteraceae. The record is from RNAcentral.